UGCAGUCGAGCGAACAGAUGAAGUGCUUGCACUUCUGACGUUAGCGGCGAACGGGUGAGUAACACGUAAGGAAUCUACCUAUAAGCGGGGGAUAACAUUCGGAAACGGGUGCUAAUACCGCAUAAUAUCUUCUUCCGCAUGGAAGAAGAUUGAAAGACGGCUCUGCUGUCACUUAUAGAUGACCUUGCGGUGCAUUAGUUAGUUGGUGGGGUAACGGCCUACCAAGACGAUGAUGCAUAGCCGACCUGAGAGGGUGAUCGGCCACAUUGGGACUGAGACACGGCCCAAACUCCUACGGGAGGCAGCAGUAGGGAAUCUUCCGCAAUGGGCGAAAGCCUGACGGAGCAAUGCCGCGUGAGUGAAGAAGGCCUUCGGGUCGUAAAACUCUGUUAUAAGAGAAGAACAAAUUGUAGAGUAACUGCUACAGUCUUGACGGUAUCUUAUCAGAAAGCCACGGCUAACUACGUGCCAGCAGCCGCGGUAAUACGUAGGUGGCAAGCGUUGUCCGGAUUUAUUGGGCGUAAAGGGAGCGCAGGUGGUUUCUUAAGUCUGAUGUGAAAGCCCACGGCUUAACCGUGGAGGGUCAUUGGAAACUGGGAAACUUGAGUACAGAAGAGGAAUGUGGAACUCCAUGUGUAGCGGUGGAAUGCGUAGAUAUAUGGAAGAACACCAGUGGCGAAGGCGACAUUCUGGUCUGUUACUGACACUGAGGCUCGAAAGCGUGAGGAGCAAACAGGAUUAGAUACCCUGGUAGUCCACGCCGUAAACGAUGAGUGCUAGGUGUUGGAGGG
This 791-nucleotide ribosomal RNA is filed under the name Aerococcus sp. C36-PCA-T3P21. RNAcentral describes it as "bacterial SSU rRNA". It matches the Rfam family "Bacterial small subunit ribosomal RNA", at positions 56 to 830 of the family's 1533-position model. The record is from RNAcentral. Lineage: Bacteria; Bacillati; Bacillota; Bacilli; Lactobacillales; Aerococcaceae.